UACAGAGGGGGCAAGCGUUGUUCGGAAUUACUGGGCGUAAAGGGCGCGUAGGCGGCCUUCUAAGUCGAAUGUGAAAGCCCCCGGCUUAACUGGGGAGGGUCAUUCGAUACUGUUCGACUUGAAGGCAGGAGAGGGCAGCAGAAUUCCCGGUGUAGUGGUGAAAUGCGUAGAUAUCGGGAGGAAUACCAGUGGCGAAGGCGGCUGCCUGGCCUGUUCUUGACGCUGAGGCGCGAAAGCUGGGGGAGCAAACGGG
RNAcentral lists this ribosomal RNA (253 nucleotides) under uncultured bacterium. RNAcentral describes it as "partial 16S ribosomal RNA". It matches the Rfam family "Bacterial small subunit ribosomal RNA", at positions 524 to 776 of the family's 1533-position model. The record is from RNAcentral.